Molecule: ribosomal RNA, 558 nt
Filed under: uncultured Oxyporus
Lineage: Eukaryota; Fungi; Basidiomycota; Agaricomycetes; Polyporales; Polyporaceae
Description: eukaryotic LSU rRNA
Rfam family: Eukaryotic large subunit ribosomal RNA
Source: RNAcentral
AGUAACUGCGAGUGAAGCGGGAAAAGCUCAAAUUUAAAAUCUGGCGGGUUCCCCGUCCGAGUUGUAAUCUGGAGAAGCGUUUUCCGUGUCGGACCGUGUACAAGUCCCUUGGAAUGGGGCGUCAUAGAGGGUGAGAAUCCCGUCCAUGACACGGACUACCGAUGCUUUGUGAUACGCUCUCGAAGAGUCGAGUUGUUUGGGAAUGCAGCUCAAAAUGGGUGGUAAAUUCCAUCUAAAGCUAAAUAUUGGCGAGAGACCGAUAGCGAACAAGUACCGUGAGGGAAAGAUGAAAAGCACUUUGGAAAGAGAGUUAAACAGUACGUGAAAUUGUUGAAAGGGAAACGCUUGAAGUCAGUCGCGUCCGUCGAGACUCAGCCUUGCCUUUGGGCCUGGUGUAUUUCUUGGUGGACGGGUCAACAUCGAUUUUGAAUGGCAGAUAAAGGUCUGGGGAAUGUGGCACCUCCGGGUGUGUUAUAGCCCCUCUCAGUAUAUGCUGUUUGGGAUCGAGGAACGCAGCACGCCCUUGUGGCCGGGGUUUUACCCACGUACCGUGCUUAG